RNAcentral lists this ribosomal RNA (901 nucleotides) under Staphylococcus aureus. RNAcentral describes it as "bacterial SSU rRNA". It matches the Rfam family "Bacterial small subunit ribosomal RNA", at positions 1 to 882 of the family's 1533-position model. RNAcentral also lists the same sequence under 1 other name. The record is from RNAcentral. Lineage: Bacteria; Bacillati; Bacillota; Bacilli; Caryophanales; Staphylococcaceae.
UUUUAUGGAGAGUUUGAUCCUGGCUCAGGAUGAACGCUGGCGGCGUGCCUAAUACAUGCAAGUCGAGCGAACGGACGAGAAGCUUGCUUCUCUGAUGUUAGCGGCGGACGGGUGAGUAACACGUGGAUAACCUACCUAUAAGACUGGGAUAACUUCGGGAAACCGGAGCUAAUACCGGAUAAUAUUUUGAACCGCAUGGUUCAAAAGUGAAAGACGGUCUUGCUGUCACUUAUAGAUGGAUCCGCGCUGCAUUAGCUAGUUGGUAAGGUAACGGCUUACCAAGGCAACGAUGCAUAGCCGACCUGAGAGGGUGAUCGGCCACACUGGAACUGAGACACGGUCCAGACUCCUACGGGAGGCAGCAGUAGGGAAUCUUCCGCAAUGGGCGAAAGCCUGACGGAGCAACGCCGCGUGAGUGAUGAAGGUCUUCGGAUCGUAAAACUCUGUUAUUAGGGAAGAACAUAUGUGUAAGUAACUGUGCACAUCUUGACGGUACCUAAUCAGAAAGCCCCGGCUAACUACGUGCCAGCAGCCGCGGUAAUACGUAGGUGGCAAGCGUUAUCCGGAAUUAUUGGGCGUAAAGCGCGCGUAGGCGGUUUUUUAAGUCUGAUGUGAAAGCCCACGGCUCAACCGUGGAGGGUCAUUGGAAACUGGAAAACUUGAGUGCAGAAGAGGAAAGUGGAAUUCCAUGUGUAGCGGUGAAAUGCGCAGAGAUAUGGAGGAACACCAGUGGCGAAGGCGACUUUCUGGUCUGUAACUGACGCUGAUGUGCGAAAGCGUGGGGAUCAAACAGGAUUAGAUACCCUGGUAGUCCACGCCGUAAACGAUGAGUGCUAAGUGUUAGGGGGUUUCCGCCCCUUAGUGCUGCAGCUAACGCAUUAAGCACUCCGCCUGGGGAGUA